This 429-nucleotide ribosomal RNA is filed under the name Bacillota bacterium. RNAcentral describes it as "Firmicutes bacterium partial 16S ribosomal RNA". It matches the Rfam family "Bacterial small subunit ribosomal RNA", at positions 355 to 776 of the family's 1533-position model. The record is from RNAcentral. RNAcentral also lists the same sequence under 1 other name. Lineage: Bacteria; Bacillati; Bacillota.
UGGGGAAUAUUGCACAAUGGGCGCAAGCCUGAUGCAGCCAUGCCGCGUGUGUGAAGAAGGCCUUCGGGUUGUAAAGCACUUUCAGCGGGGAGGAAGGCGUUAAGGUUAAUAACCUUGGCGAUUGACGUUACCCGCAGAAGAAGCACCGGCUAACUCCGUGCCAGCAGCCGCGGUAAUACGGAGGGUGCAAGCGUUAAUCGGAAUUACUGGGCGUAAAGCGCACGCAGGCGGUCUGUCAAGUCGGAUGUGAAAUCCCCGGGCUCAACCUGGGAACUGCAUUCGAAACUGGCAGGCUAGAGUCUUGUAGAGGGGGGUAGAAUUCCAGGAGUAGCGGUGAAAUGCGUAGAGAUCUGGAGGAAUACCGGUGGCGAAGGCGGCCCCCUGGACAAAGACUGACGCUCAGGUGCGAAAGCGUGGGGAGCAAACAGG